RNAcentral lists this ribosomal RNA (227 nucleotides) under uncultured bacterium. RNAcentral's name for it is "partial 16S ribosomal RNA". It matches the Rfam family "Bacterial small subunit ribosomal RNA", at positions 524 to 750 of the family's 1533-position model. The record is from RNAcentral.
UACGUAGGUGGCAAGCGUUGUCCGGAUUUACUGGGCGUAAAGAGCGCGCAGGCGGUCGUUCAAGUCGCGUGUGAAAGCCCCCGGCUCAACUGGGGAGGGUCACGCGAUACUGAUCGACUCGAAGGCAGGAGAGGGUAGUGGAAUUCCCGGUGUAGUGGUGAAAUGCGUAGAUAUCGGGAGGAACACCAGUGGCGAAGGCGACUACCUGGCCUGUUCUUGACGCUGAG